GGGGCUGUAGCUCAGUGGAAGAGUGCUUGCCUGGCACGCAAGAGGCCCUGAGUUAGAUCCCCAGCAAAUCCU
This is a non-coding RNA of Ictidomys tridecemlineatus (thirteen-lined ground squirrel), 72 nucleotides long. NCBI's taxonomy places the organism in Eukaryota, Metazoa, Chordata, Mammalia, Rodentia, Sciuridae. The record is from Rfam.